AGCAGUGCUUUAAAUAGCAAGUGCAUUUCCUAAUUUAUUAGUACAAGAGUAACAGUACAGAUCAUGUAAAAAUUAUUUUACAGACUAUAUGUCCAUGGAUGCACGCUUCUGAUGACAUAGCAGUGACGUGUUCGUGGGAUGAAUGUCUUUAUUUCAGAUUUAAAUAUUGGCUUCCAGGUCUGGGUUAGUCUCCUACACUGAGUAGUCUAGGUCAGAGCCCAUUUACUAGAGAAAGUGAAUUAAACUAGGAAUUAUAAACAUGAAAAGAUCUUGUUUAGGACACCAAUAAGACAAUCAGCAAGGUUCUUUGGUUAUUCAUUUCCAAAUUUGUGAGGAUAUAUUUUAUGACUGGUUUCAAUAUUGUGAAAACAAAUAUUUGUUUAUUGUCACACUAGAGUUGGCUGCCCCCAUUUGUAUACAACCCCUUUACAGGCUAAAAAUUCAGUGUGUUACCCUAUUUACUCGCAUAAUGAUCGCACUUUUUUGUAAAAAAAAUUGACUCAAAUUCAGGGGUGCGAUCAUUACGCUGGUUAAAUUUCCCGCAAAAAGAAAAAAAUAUAUUAUCUGGCAUUUACUACGGGAUGACAACAGGUCAACAAAUAGGCGGCUGCUGCUGUAUGUAGUGCAGGACACGAAAAAAAAUGGUGGCCGGCAGAGCAAGCCGAACGCGCUGAUUGCGUUUUUCUUCUCGUGAGUACAUUACAGUGCAUUCAAACAGUUUCUUCCAUAUUAGUAAUGAAUAACAUCGGCGAGUUUGCGGCAAUAGCAUAGCCAUGCCCACUUUGAGGGGACAGAGAUGGGCGCGCUUAGCUCUGCCAGUGACAUAGGAACACAUGGUGGGCAUGCUGCGGAAACUGCGGCAUUUGUCUUCACCACUAUCCUAAUGUGGCACGUUUCCGCUAAGGGUGGGCGAAUAUCUUAGCUGCGUUACAAACGUCGGCGAAUGAAUAGGGUACACUUCUAACGUAUCAGUGUAAACGUGGCUGCUAUCAUUGCCGCUCGCGAUUUGUUGCGUGCCCACAAGUGCAGAUGAGAAGAAUCGAAAGACGCCUUUUUUGUUGUUUUUGUUGACCACAACCAUUAUAAAGCCUACACAUAAUAAAGGAAAGUUUGGUUGUAGCUUUUUUUUGUCGUAGAAGUGCAGAAAGUGAUGAAAGGAAUGAAAUGGGGCAUCUGCUUAAGAAAGUUUUUUGCAUGCAGUCUGCUUGGUUUGUCUUGAAGAGUCGUUCGCAUAGCAGUCGACAGAUGGUAAGCGCGAUCAUUAUUAGCUAGAUUUGGCACAUGACACAUCGCUGCGGCAAGUUCGGGGUGAAAUCGUUACAUGGGAAAUUAAAAAAAUCGAAUUUUGACGACAAAAUUUAGGAGUGCGAUCAUUACGCGAGUGCAAUCAUUAUGCGAGUAAAUACGGUAAUAGGCUGUUUUUGGUUUCGUGCACUCUAUGUUAAGGGAUGCAAAUGGUGACAUACAACAGAAUGCAAAAAUGACUAAUGAAUUCAAGCAGGGCAUGGGGCUUUUUAGGCAGAUGCGUGCGUGUGCUAUUUAUAAAGCUCCCCAUGGUAUGCCUGAAGGCAUUUUCUAACACUUUGGUAGAAUACACUGACACCCCCUUAUUAACUCUUCGAAACAACUCUUUUAUAUAUUUGUACUAGAGAUUUGAAUAUACUGUCAUUCAUAAAGUGUUUUAUUAGAUUUGAAUUGUCAUUUAUUUUUGUGUAGCUGCUGUUUUUCAGUUAUGUCCUACACAGUGGCAAAAUAUUUUUGUGGGCACUUUCCUGUGUAUAAAAUUUUCAGAAAUAGCUUCAUGCUGUAUCUUAUUUAGCUACUCGUAUACUGCAAAGUGGUGAUACCUAUCCAAAUGGCUUGUACAAUUACUGGAACUAUGCAAAAAUAUAUUAGGCCACAUUAAAUAAUUUUACAGAUUGCAAUUUCAAUUAGAUAUCAGCAUUCUGCAUAUCUUGAAGAGUACGUAUGCCAAAUUUCGAAGUAUAGGACAACUAUAAGUGCAUAAGAAGUAUGCAAGAUUAGUAGGCAGGCCUCUCUGCCUGCCUACUAAUUUUGCAUACUUCUAGUAACUUUACAUGCUCUUUGAAUAGAUAUCGGCACUUUGCAGUCUACAAAGAGCUGAGGUAGCUACAGCACACUGCUUUUUGUGAAAAUUUACACAAGAAAGUGCCCGCAAAGAUCAGUGUAUUUUCCCAUUGUGUAGGACAUAACUCAAGAAGCAGCUAAAGAAAUACUGACAUAUAUGACAUCUGCAUGAAGAACUCUACAAUUUGCUCUCUUUUCAAGCCUCUAGCACGAAUAAUAAGACUGUUUCGAGUAAUAUUCAAUCAGCAAAACAUGCCCCUUGCUAUAGUGACCUACAACCUAGAAACGCAAAUUGAACGCAAGUCUUUUUGUUGAAGCGACUCUGGGCUGUCUUCCCAAGGGCUUCUGUUAAACACUGAAAUUUCCUGCAUUUACCAGAAGUGCAAUACUCAAAUGUUUGUGUAUGUGCAAUUGGUAUUGGCAAACUAACAGAAAAAAAGACAGUUCUGUGAAAUGAAGAAUUGACUAUAACUUUGUUCGACAUUUACAUUUUGACUCCAUAUCUUUGUUUUGUGCUUUGUACUGAGUGUUUCAGCAGUGACUGCCGCUAAAAAUUGAACAUAACUGCUUCAUGACAAUGCGACAAUUUUCGCUAACAGAAAUUUAUAGCACUGGCAGGCAUUAUAAUUACCGUACUCAAUAACGUCUAGUUUGUAAGAACUCAGACUAGCACCAGUUCCGAGAUACACAACCCAAAAAGACAUGAUCAGAAAGGUUUAUCUUCCACACAGAAUUGUCCCAUAAAGCUUACAAAAUGUUUUGUGGCUAAGUAAUAUCUGCAACAGCAAAGCAUGUUCCACCAAGUAUGGCGAUAAAUAUUUCAGAGCUGUCAGUCUGAGGACUCCUACAAACUAACAAUACCUUCAGCACUGACUAGCCUCAAUAAUAGGAGGUCAGCCAUUUUGCUGAAAUUAAUAAAACUUCAAUUAUUGUGAUCUUGUUUACGAAAACAUUUGCAAUUGUAAUUCAGUUCUAGUAUCUGUCACUUUUGUAAAUAUUUUCCAAUUAGUUUUUCAGACUACAAUUUUUGGUAAUAGAGGUAUUCAUUGCAGAAAGAUCUAGUACAUGGCACUUAAUAAUAAAGGUACUGGUCAUCGUAGACUUUCUGUUGCACAGCUGUUUCUUGAAAUCUGAAAGGAUGUACCCGCCUCCUUAUGUUAGCUAGAAACGGAAAUCUGUCAGUAUGUUUUGUUUAAAAUACAGCUGAUCAACCCGAUAGUUAGGCUGCUUGCCAAAUAUAAAUUAUAACGAUAAUAGUGAAGGACCAUAAUAACAGAGUGAUGCUGACUCAUAACUAUGCCCAGCUACAUCCACGCAGCUGUGCCAUACAAUGUGCAUGUGUUCAGAAGAGCCAAAUGCCCCAGAGAGAAAGCAACAGUAACUCAUUGUUUGUCAUCUUGUUCAAGCAGAUUAUGCGCUAGCUGUAAUUUAUGCUCAGUAAAUACAUAAAUCAGUCAUGUCAGGUGUCUUACUUUAGGUUGCAAGUUCGAAGUUCUUGUAAUCUUGCUUGUUUUUAUUUUGUUUUCUUUGUGAGAAUGAGUCACUUGGUUGCCUUCGCACAUAUUCUCAAAACUGUUUCAUCACUGGGAAUCAGGAAAUUUAAUUUGCAUAUGAAAUUCCCAGUUACUAAUUUGGUAGGCUUUGAGCUUAAUUCUCUUAUCUUUUAUAUGUUUAUCUACCAAGUAGUCUUAUCGUUCAUUGAAACAUAUCCAUGUAAUGCAGAGAGGGCACCCAAAUUAUAAAUAUCUCUUCUUGCUUUCUACCCUGCUCUGGUGUUUUCAAAACCUAGCAUUGGUGCAAUGGCCUGUCUGCAGAAAAGUAGUAAAGUGGCUAAAUUUAAAGGUCAACAACAUAAUUAAGAUACAAAGCAAAAAUAUAAGUUCGCAAUUGUCCCCCAUAACGAGAGUUCUGCUUAGAAUUAAAAAAAAAUUGACAUCCUGCUGUGGUGUGAGAAUUGCUUUGGGUUCCAAGGGGACUACGUAGCACCUGUACUAGUGUAUACAAAGCAAAAAAAAAGAUCACUCCAGAUGGGAGCGGCAGUGGGAAGUCAAGCACAGAUGCUUUAUUUCACGCACCAUUAAUGUGGUUUAUCAUCUGCUCCUGUUGUAUGGGAAUGCAUACAUUGGGAAGACAAUCCUUUGCGCCAUUGUUACCUUAGCGGGACACCAGAGAAAGGUAGAAAUCGAGAACAGGUAUUCACACUUGGUUGCCCACAGUGUGUUAUUUGGAUGUGUUUCACUCUACAAAAGACUACUGUGGUAGGUAAUCAUAAUGACAAAGACAAAAGAAUUAAAAGAGGUAUGUGUCUGUCAUCCGUCCGUGACCUCCAGUGUUUAUAGAAACACUUCUUUGUGUAUAUGUGCCAAGCCGUAGGGAGGCUUUACGUAACUCAGUCAUGCUUGCUAAGCUAAAGAUUGGAAUAAGGAAAAUCACAAGAACAUUGUAUGAGUGAUUUAUAAAUGUGGCACCUAAAGUAACUUAUUCAUGUAUGUCCUGAGGAUAGAUUACAGCCAGUGCAUAAUGUGCUCUUACAGGAUGACUUGUGAUGAGUAAAAGAAGCCUUCCUCACAUCUUCCUCUUUGUUUCUUUUGGAUCUUUGUGCACUAUGUGUAUUGUUACAGCUGCGUGCAUGCAGCUGGGUAUAGUUUGUUUAUGUGUUCUGCUUCCCCUCUUGUACUCGUCAUUCAUGCGCUAUCUUUGCCGUAACAAAAUACAGCUGCCUGUGCUACUUAUUUUGUCAACGUGUUUGGAUUAUGGAAAGUUUUGUAUUAGCGGUUAUUUCUACCUGUGAAAUUGUCUGUGUCAGCUAUUUUACUUAGUCUUGCAAAAGUAUGCUUCUCAACAUAAAUAAAUGAUCAGUGUAAGUGUUGCUGUAUUUAUUUUUGUAAUUUUGUCAGUUAUGAGGUUUUUAUACACUGUUGCAUGUUGUAUGACAGAAUAAAAUUGAUGCACAACUUUUUAA
Non-coding RNA from Dermacentor albipictus, 5050 nucleotides. NCBI's taxonomy places the organism in Eukaryota, Metazoa, Arthropoda, Arachnida, Ixodida, Ixodidae. The record is from RefSeq and is a predicted model, not a curated record.